Molecule: ribosomal RNA, 399 nt
Filed under: uncultured bacterium
Lineage: Bacteria
Description: partial 16S ribosomal RNA
Rfam family: Bacterial small subunit ribosomal RNA
Source: RNAcentral
AAUAUUGGGCAAUGGGGGAAACCCUGACCCAGCGACGUCGCGUGAGGGAAGAAGGUCUUCGGAUUGUAAACCUUUGUCAACAGGGAAGAAGCAAGUGACGGUACCUGAAGAGGAAGCCACGGCUAACUACGUGCCAGCAGCCGCGGUAAUACGUAGGUGGCGAGCGUUAUCCGGAAUUACUGGGUGUAAAGGGUGUGUAGGCGGGGAUGCAAGUCAGAUGUGAAAUUCAUGGGCUCAACCUAUGGUGUGCAUUUGAAACUGGAGAGCUUGAGUAUCGGAGAGGGUAGUGGAAUUCCUGGAGUAGCGGUGAAAUGCGUAGAUAUCAGGAGGAACACCAGUGGCGAAGGCGACUACCUGGACGAAAACUGACGCUGAGGCACGAAAGCUAGGGGAGCAAAC